Molecule: ribosomal RNA, 1401 nt
Filed under: uncultured bacterium
Lineage: Bacteria
Description: bacterial SSU rRNA
Rfam family: Bacterial small subunit ribosomal RNA
Source: RNAcentral
UAGAGUUUGAUCCUGGCUCAGGAUGAACGCUAGCUACAGGCUUAACACAUGCAAGUCGAGGGGCAUCAUGGAGUUUGCUUGCAAACUCUGAUGGCGACCGGCGCACGGGUGAGUAACGCGUAUCCAACCUUCCCUAUAGUAGAGGAUAGCCCGGCGAAAGUCGGAUUAAUACUCUAUGUUUUCCGUUGCAGACAUCUAAGAUGGAACAAAGGCUUGCCGCUAUAGGAUGGGGAUGCGUCUGAUUAGGUAGUCGGCGGGGUAACGGCCCACCGAGCCAUCGAUCAGUAGGGGUUCUGAGAGGAAGGUCCCCCACAUUGGAACUGAGACACGGUCCAAACUCCUACGGGAGGCAGCAGUGAGGAAUAUUGGUCAAUGGGCGAGAGCCUGAACCAGCCAAGUAGCGUGCAGGAUGACGGCCCUAUGGGUUGUAAACUGCUUUUAUGCGGGGAUAAAGUUCACUACGUGUAGUGUUUUGUAGGUACCGCAUGAAUAAGGACCGGCUAAUUCCGUGCCAGCAGCCGCGGUAAUACGGAAGGUCCGGGCGUUAUCCGGAUUUAUUGGGUUUAAAGGGAGCGCAGGCCGAUGGUUAAGCGUGACGUGAAAUGUAGCCGCUCAACGGCUGAGUUGCGUCGCGAACUGGCUGUCUUGAGUGAGUUCGAUGUGGGCGGAAUUCGUGGUGUAGCGGUGAAAUGCUUAGAUAUCACGAAGAACUCCGAUUGCGAAGGCAGCCCACAAGGCCUUUACUGACGCUAAAGCUCGAAGGUGCGGGUAUCGAACAGGAUUAGAUACCCUGGUAGUCCGCACGGUAAACGAUGGAUGCCCGCUGUUUGCGAUAUAUUGUGAGCGGCCAAGAGAAAUCGUUAAGCAUCCCACCUGGGGAGUACGCCGGCAACGGUGAAACUCAAAGGAAUUGACGGGGGCCCGCACAAGCGGAGGAGCAUGUGGUUUAAUUCGAUGAUACGCGAGGAACCUUACCCAGACUCAAAUGCAGAUAGAAUUAUUCAGAGAUGGAUAAGCCCUUCGGGGCUAUUUGCAAGGUGCUGCAUGGUUGUCGUCAGCUCGUGCCGUGAGGUGUCAGGUUAAGUCCUAUAACGAGCGCAACCCUUACGUCCAGUUGCCAGCGGGUAAAGCCGGGGACUCUGGAGGGACUGCCGGCGCAAGCCGAGAGGAAGGUGGGGAUGACGUCAAAUCAGCACGGCCCUUACGUCUGGGGCGACACACGUGCUACAAUGGCCGGUACAGAGGGCAGCGAGCCUGUGAGGGUAAGCGAAUCUCGAAAGCCGGUCUCAGUUCGGAUCGGAGUCUGCAACUCGACUCCGUGAAGUUGGAUUCGCUAGUAAUCGCGCAUCAGCCAUGGCGCGGUGAAUACGUUCCCGGGCCUUGUACUCACCGCCCGUCAAG